Molecule: ribosomal RNA, 410 nt
Filed under: uncultured eukaryote
Lineage: Eukaryota
Description: bacterial SSU rRNA
Rfam family: Eukaryotic small subunit ribosomal RNA
Source: RNAcentral
GUUGCGGUUAAAAAGCUCGUAGUUGGAUUUCUGCUGAAAGCGCUCGGUCCGCACUAUGUGCGUGUAUCUGGUGCGAUUUUGGCAUCCUUUUGAAAGACUCGUCUGCGCUUGAUUGCGUUGUCCAGAAUUCAAAACCUUUACUUUGAGGAAAUUAGAGUGUUCACGGCAGGUAUCAGUCUUGAAUAUAUUAGCAUGGAAUAAUAAGAUAGGAUUUUGGUUCUAUUUUUUUGGCUCCUAGGACCAGAAUAAUGAUCGAUAGGGAUAAUUGGGGGCAUUUGUAUUAACGCGUCAGAGGUGGAAUUCUUGGAUUGCGUUACGACAAACUACUGCGAAAGCAUUUGCCAAGGGUGUUUUCAUUGAUCAAGAACGAAAGUAUGGGGAUCGAAGAUGAUUAGAUACCGUCGUAGUCU